AAGUGAGAAUGCCGGUGUGAGUAGCGAAAGACGGGUGAGAAUCCCGUCCACCGAUUGACUAAGGUUUCCAGAGGAAGGCUCGUCCGCUCUGGGUUAGUCGGGUCCUAAGCUGAGGCCGACAGGCGUAGGCGAUGGAUAACAGGUUGAUAUUCCUGUACCACCAUUAUUCGUUUUAAGCGAUGGGGGGACGCAGUAGGAUAGGCGAAGCGUGCUGUUGGAGUGCACGUCCAAGCAGUGAGAUUGAGUGUUAGGCAAAUCCGGCACUCUUAAGAUUGAGCUGUGAUGGGGAGAGGAACUUGUUCCUCGAGUCGUUGAUUUCACACUGCCGAGAAAAGCCUCUAGCUAGAAUAACGGUGCCCGUACCGCAAACCGACACAGGUAGUCAAGAUGAGAAUUCUAAGGUGAGCGAGCGAACUCUCGUUAAGGAACUCGGCAAAAUGACCCCGUAACUUCGGGAGAAGGGGUGCUCUUUGAGGUUCACGCUUCGAAGAGCCGCAGUGAAUAGGCCCAAGCGACUGUUUAUCAAAAACACAGGUCUCUGCUAAACCGUAAGGUGACGUAUAGGGGCUGACGCCUGCCCGGUGCUGGAAGGUUAAGAGGAGUGGUUAGCGCAAGCGAAGCUACGAAUCGAAGCCCCAGUAAACGGCGGCCGUAACUAUAACGGUCCUAAGGUAGCGAAAUUCCUUGUCGGGUAAGUUCCGACCCGCACGAAAGGCGUAACGAUUUGGGCACUGUCUCAACGAGAGACUCGGUGAAAUCAUAGUACCGGUGAAGAUGCCGGUUACCCGCGACAGGACGGAAAGACCCCGUGGAGCUUUACUGUAGCCUGAUAUUGAAAUUCGGUACAGUUUGUACAGGAUAGGUAGGAGCCUUAGAAGCGUGAGCGCUAGCUUACGUGGAGGCAUUGGUGGGAUACUACCCUAAUUGUAUUGGAUUUCUAACCCGCAGCACUUAUCGUGCUGGGAGACAGUGUCAGGCGGGCAGUUUGACUGGGGCGGUCGCCUCCUAAAGAGUAACGGAGGCGCUCAAAGGUUCCCUCAGAAUGGUUGGAAAUCAUUCAUAGAGUGUAAAGGCAUAAGGGAGCUUGACUGCGAGACCUACAAGUCGAGCAGGGUCGAAAGACGGACUUAGUGAUCCGGUGGUUCCGCAUGGAAGGGCCAUCGCUCAACGGAUAAAAGCUACCCCGGGGAUAACAGGCUUAUCUCCCCCAAGAGUUCACAUCGACGGGGAGGUUUGGCACCUCGAUGUCGGCUCAUCGCAUCCUGGGGCUGUAGUCGGUCCCAAGGGUUGGGCUGUUCGCCCAUUAAAGCGGUACGCGAGCUGGGUUCAGAACGUCGUGAGACAGUUCGGUCCCUAUCCGUCGUGGGCGUAGGAAAUUUGAGAGGAGCUGUCCUUAGUACGAGAGGACCGGGAUGGACAUAC
RNAcentral lists this ribosomal RNA (1422 nucleotides) under Staphylococcus pseudintermedius. RNAcentral describes it as "partial 23S ribosomal RNA". It matches the Rfam family "Bacterial large subunit ribosomal RNA", at positions 1286 to 2706 of the family's 2925-position model. The record is from RNAcentral. Lineage: Bacteria; Bacillati; Bacillota; Bacilli; Caryophanales; Staphylococcaceae.